UGUGCAAACCCAAGCAAAACUG
Molecule: microRNA, 22 nt
Filed under: Salmo salar (Atlantic salmon)
Lineage: Eukaryota; Metazoa; Chordata; Actinopteri; Salmoniformes; Salmonidae
Description: ssa-miR-19d-3p
Gene: ssa-miR-19d-3p
Source: miRBase by way of RNAcentral